UGAUGAUUCUGGAGCUCAUGGUGGUUGU
This 28-nucleotide non-coding RNA is filed under the name Rattus norvegicus (Norway rat). The record is from RNAcentral. Lineage: Eukaryota; Metazoa; Chordata; Mammalia; Rodentia; Muridae.